Molecule: long non-coding RNA, 349 nt
Organism: Perognathus longimembris pacificus (Pacific pocket mouse)
Lineage: Eukaryota; Metazoa; Chordata; Mammalia; Rodentia; Heteromyidae
Exons: 3
Source: RefSeq, a predicted model, not a curated record
UUUUCUGUGCUUCUCUAAUGGAUCAUCAGACUUGGUCUAAAAUAACACCCAGUUAUUCCCUCUUAAUUCAGGAGCAGAUGUCCCUAGUCAGUUUCACUAAGUUAUGCGACAAGGUGUGGAUCGGGCUCUGCUUUCUCCGGAGGGUCUGGGGGACAAGCUCUUUCUUUGUCUUCUCUAGCUUCUUUAGUCUCAUUCUUAGCAUCUUGGCUCAGGACACCUUUCUCCAUCAUGAAAGCCAGUGGCCCAGAAGUUAUCUCAGUGGAAUUGUGCCCCCUUCCUUCUUCUUCCACUUCCCUGAGACCCAACAUAGAUAAUCCAAGAUGACCUCCCCUCAUUAGGUAAAACAAGG